This 3335-nucleotide long non-coding RNA is filed under the name Triticum aestivum (bread wheat). RNAcentral describes it as "long non-coding RNA (TAES_LNC028439)". The record is from RNAcentral. Lineage: Eukaryota; Viridiplantae; Streptophyta; Magnoliopsida; Poales; Poaceae.
GCAGGAGCCAUUUUUGUCAGCGUCCAUCACAUCCAUUCCUUUCAUGCAUCAGAUGCGCUAUCGAGUAAGCUUGAACCUGCAAGAACAGAACUACAAAAAUAACAACAAUUUGGUACUAUAAUUUAAGACAGAAGUACCCAUGAGACCCCAACAUCCUGGCAAGCUACUCGUGAUAAAGACCGAAAUAGAGGAUAGGUUAGUCUUUUUCAGACCCGGGGUACUUGAAGAUCAUCUUGAUCAAGCUGGCGUCUAUUCUCUGGGUAGCAAGGUUAAUGGUGCUAGGUUAGUCCUCCAACUUUCGAAUUCAUGCACUCAGACUAUCUCAGGAGCAAGGGCAAGCAUGUUUAGAAUUAAAACAAAUAACAAAGCUUGCCAAAUACUCGUAUUAUGGGAUAUCUUUCAGUUGUGAUAUAUAUGAGGCGGGGUAAUUCGGUAGGACAAUCUCAGCCACAUAGAUGGUAUAGCCUUGGUCAAGUCUUUGUUUAUUCCAGUAAUCCAGUUCAUUCAAUGGAGCUCUUAAUUAACCUGCUCAUGUGUUAAUGCAAUGCUUACUGCUUAGCAAUUUUAAAAUAAACCAUGGUGGUUUUCCCUUCUUGACAGUGGUACCAGGCUAAAAAAUUAACAAAACUAGAACUACAAUUAAUUUGGAAGAGACAAGGUACAUACGAGUACUCAGAAAUAGAAUUCCAACCAGCUAAUACCAGCUGCUAGAUUCAUUUCUAUCAACGGCACAACCAAAAAAGUCGUGCAACCUAAGAUUCGGCCCUACAAAAUGGGUUAAAAGUAAACAGCUAACAAUUAACAGAGAUGUUCGCAAAGAUCACAAGGUUUUCGCCCACCCUCGUUUGCACACAAACCCACAGAGUUUUGGCGAGUGAGGACGGGUCGACAAGUGAAGGAGGACUCCAGCUGCUUCCAGGCAGCUGCCAAACGCUGCCAACUUCAGCUUGUCCCCAACAACCAGGUACCUAGAUGGUUGCUGACUCAAGAUUCUGGGUCUGACUGUAGCUAAAAAUCAUAACAGCAGAUCAGGAAUGAACAAAUUAAGAUGUGCAAUCUAACGAUUUCACGAAAGGCAAACAUAAAACAAAUUCACAUUCCACAUCAGCUUCAAGAAUUUUGUUAGGCAGAAAAAUUAAUCAAACAACAGAUUAUGCACAUGUACAGAUUCCUUUUUUUUGGAAGACUCGGUACAGGUACAAAUUUGGAAGGGACUAAACAAGCAAACAAGCAAACAAGCACCGCAAGCAAGUCUGGUCCUAUCAAACAGUCAUCACUACAGAGCGUGUUAGGCUGUUUUUAUGCUGACCGUUGAAUGAUUCAACACACAGAUGCAGUCCCUGUCGGCAAUCCCCUAUCAUUCUUCCAUGCUGUUAGCUGUCACAGGAGCCCUGUUGCAAGUUUGCAACUCAAACUCUGAUUCAAGUUAACGGUGCAAGAAAAAAAUCAUAACACAAAUGGCAGUGGCGAGUACCUCUCCGGCUCUCUCUCUCCCGCCUCUCCUUCUCGUCCUCCUACUCCUCGCUGCCACCAGCGAGGCCACCAAAUUUAGUGUCAUCAACCGAUGCUCCUACACCGUGUGGCCAGCCGCUGUUCCGGUUGGUGGUGGCGUGAAGCUCGAUCCGGGGGAGACGUGGGAGAUGGACGUUCCCGCUGGCACCAUGGGCGGGCGCAUCUGGGCACGCACAGACUGCUCAUUCCAGGGCGAAGGCAACGGGUCGUGCCAAACUGGCGACUGCGGCGGCUUGCUUGCCUGUAAGGGCAAUGGUCAGCCGCCCAACACGCUGGGCGAGUUCACGCUUGGCCAAAACCAAACGAACGACUUCUUCGACAUCUCCCUCCUCGACGGCUUCAACGUGCCCAUGGAGUUACUGCCGGUGCAGGUUCAGGGAAGGUCAGGGUGCGGCAAGGGGCUGCGCUGCGCAGCCAACAUCACAUCACAGUGCCCGGGCGACCUGAAGGCUCCGGGGGGUUGUAACAAUGCGUGCACAGUGUUCAAGCAGGACAUGUACUGCUUUAAUGGAAGCAAGACAAGCAACCCCACAAAUUACUCGAAAUUCUUUAAAUGGAUGUGCCCAGAUGCCUACAGCUACCCUGACGAUGGUUUCACCAGAACUUUCAAUUGCCCGUCAGGUACCAACUACCAGGUCAUCUUUUGUCCCCUUUUUAAUCAAGCACUAUCGCCGACCCAGGUAACACCUCCGACACCAAGUACUCUGCCUGCAGCUACCGGGCCAACAAGCAUGAAACCGAAAUCCUCUGCUACAAGAAGAAUUGUUGCAAUUCUAGCUCCUGUAGGCGGCUUCAUUUUGCUCACCAUCGUGUUCCUCAUCAUCUUCUUUAUAUGUAAACGAAGAACACAACGACAACAUGGGAUGGAAGAAGAGGAAGAGUUUGGGGAGCUACAAGGAACACCAAUGAGGUUCACAUUUCAACAGCUAAAAGCAGCAACCGAGCAAUUCACAGACAAGCUUGGGGAAGGAGGAUUUGGGUCUGUUUUCAAGGGACAAUUUGGUGAUCAAAGGAUUGCAGUGAAACGUUUGGAUCGAACUGGUCAGGGCAAAAGUGAAUUUUCGGCAGAGGUUCAGACAAUUGGCAGCAUUCAUCAUAUUCAUCUGGUGAGAUUGAUUGGUUUCUGUGCAGAGAAAUCCCAUAGGCUCUUGGUAUAUGAGUACAUGCCCAAAGGAUCCUUGGACAGAUGGAUUUAUUGUCGACAUGACAAUGAUGCCCCUCCUUUAGAUUGGAGCACGCGGUGCAAGAUUAUAACUCACAUAGCUAAGGGCCUCUCUUAUCUUCAUGAGGAGUGCACAAAAAGAAUUGCUCAUUUGGAUGUCAAACCGCAAAAUAUUCUCUUAGAUGACAACUUUGAUGCUAAACUUUCUGAUUUUGGACUAUGCAAGCUCAUCGACAGGGAUAUGAGCCAAGUGGUUACCAGAAUGAGAGGCACACCUGGAUAUUUAGCUCCUGAAUGGUUGACAUCACAGAUCACGGAAAAGGCGGAUAUCUACAGCUUUGGCAUCGUGGUCAUGGAAAUCAUCAGUGGAAGAAAGAACCUUGACACUUCCCGGUCAGAAGAGAGCGUCCAUCUCAUCACCCUAUUGGAGGAAAAGGUGAAGAAUGAUCAGUUGGUAGAUUUGAUUGACAAUAACAGUAACGACAUGCAAGCACACAAGCAAGAUGUAAUUCAGAUGAUGAUGCUUGCAAUGUGGUGCUUGCAGAUUGAUCGCAAAAAAAGGCCUAAAAUGUCGGAGGUGGUAAGAGUAUUGGAAGGUACCAUGAAAGCAGACCUCAACAUAGAACAUGAGUUUGUUGUAACAACUCCGGCAAAUUUUAGU